Molecule: ribosomal RNA, 261 nt
Filed under: uncultured prokaryote
Description: partial 16S ribosomal RNA
Rfam family: Bacterial small subunit ribosomal RNA
Source: RNAcentral
UACGUAGGGUGCGAGCGUUGUCCGGAAUUAUUGGGCGUAAAGAGCUUGUAGGCGGUUUGUCGCGUCUGCUGUGAAAAUCCGGGGCUCAACCCCGGACUUGCAGUGGGUACGGGCAGACUAGAGUGUGGUAGGGGAGACUGGAAUUCCUGGUGUAGCGGUGAAAUGCGCAGAUAUCAGAAGGAACACCGAUGGCGAAGGCAGGUCUCUGGGCCACUACUGACGCUGAGAAGCGAAAGCAUGGGGAGCGAACAGGAUUAGAUA